GGGGAAUAUUGGACAAUGGGCGCAAGCCUGAUCCAGCAAUGCCGCGUGGGUGAAGAAGGCCUUCGGGUUGUAAAGCCCUUUUGUACGGGAAGAAAGCGGGCGGGUUAAUACCUUGUCCGGAUGACGGUACCGUAAGAAUAAGCACCGGCUAACUUCGUGCCAGCAGCCGCGGUAAUACGAAGGGUGCAAGCGUUAAUCGGAAUUACUGGGCGUAAAGCGUGCGUAGGCGGUUUGUUAAGUGCGAUGUGAAAGCCCUGGGCUCAACCUGGGAAUGGCAUGGGAUACUGGCAAGCUAGAGUGCGGGAGAGGAGUGCGGAAUUCCCGGUGUAGCGGUGAAAUGCGUAGAGAUCGGGAGGAACAUCCGUGGCGAAGGCGGCACCCUGGACCAGCACUGACGCUGAGGCACGAAAGCGUGGGGAGCAAAC
This 425-nucleotide ribosomal RNA is filed under the name uncultured bacterium. RNAcentral's name for it is "bacterial SSU rRNA". It matches the Rfam family "Bacterial small subunit ribosomal RNA", at positions 356 to 773 of the family's 1533-position model. The record is from RNAcentral.